This 69-nucleotide transfer RNA is filed under the name Trematomus bernacchii (emerald rockcod). Its description in RNAcentral is "tRNA-Ala". It matches the Rfam family "tRNA". Rfam says of the family: Transfer RNA (tRNA) molecules are approximately 80 nucleotides in length. Their secondary structure includes four short double-helical elements and three loops (D, anti-codon, and T loops). Further hydrogen bonds mediate the characteristic L-shaped molecular structure. tRNAs have two regions of fundamental functional importance: the anti-codon, which is responsible for specific mRNA codon recognition, and the 3' end, to which the tRNAs corresponding amino acid is attached (by aminoacyl-tRNA synthetases). tRNAs cope with the degeneracy of the genetic code in two manners: having more than one tRNA (with a specific anti-codon) for a particular amino acid; and 'wobble' base-pairing, i.e. permitting non-standard base-pairing at the 3rd anti-codon position. Lineage: Eukaryota; Metazoa; Chordata; Actinopteri; Perciformes; Nototheniidae. The record is from RNAcentral.
AAGGCUUUAGCUUAAUUAAAGUACCUGUUUUGCAUACAGGAGCUGUAGGAUAAUACCCCGCAAGCCUUA